AGGCACCCAGAUUACUUUCUCAUUGUGCAGUGCCCCAGACCCCUUUUACCCUGCAAUGCAAAACACUGCAUUUUUGGAGUACAACUCAGCCAGAAGGUCCCUGUAGUGUUAGGAAUGCAGUUUUGUAUUCCUAUCACCAUAGUGCCCCCCUCAAUCUAUUGUUUGGUAUGUAUUCGUAAACACAAACUUUGUUGCUAUAGAUUUUAGCGUAGGUUUUAGAAUUUCCAUUAAGGGCUGACAUUAGGAUCAUUGUUUUUUUUUGCAUUAAUGUUUAUGAUUUUCUGGCUUUAUGAAAU
Molecule: non-coding RNA, 296 nt
Organism: Pelobates cultripes (western spadefoot toad)
Lineage: Eukaryota; Metazoa; Chordata; Amphibia; Anura; Pelobatidae
Source: the annotation of a GenBank genome assembly